This 490-nucleotide ribosomal RNA is filed under the name uncultured bacterium. Its description in RNAcentral is "partial 16S ribosomal RNA". It matches the Rfam family "Bacterial small subunit ribosomal RNA", at positions 30 to 507 of the family's 1533-position model. The record is from RNAcentral.
AUUGAACGCUGGCGGCAGGCCUAACACAUGCAAGUCGAACGGUAACAGGAAGAAGCUUGCUUCUUUGCUGACGAGUGGCGGACGGGUGAGUAAUGUCUGGGAAACUGCCUGAUGGAGGGGGAUAACUACUGGAAACGGUAGCUAAUACCGCAUAACGUCGCAAGACCAAAGAGGGGGACCUUCGGGCCUCUAGCCAUCGGAUGUGCCCAGAUGGGAUUAGCUAGUAGGUGGGGUAACGGCUCACCUAGGCGACGAUCCCUGGCUGGUCUGAGAGGAUGACCAGCCACACUGGAACUGAGACACGGUACAGACUCCUACGGGAGGCAGCAGUGGGGAAUAUUGCACAAUGGGCGCAAGCCUGAUGCAGCCAUGCCGCGUGUAUGAAGAAGGCCUUCGGGUUGUAAAGUACUUUCAGCGGGGAGGAAGGGAGUAAAGUUAAUACCUUUGCUCAUUGACGUUACCCGCAGAAGAAGCACCGGCUAACUCCGUG